GUAGGGAAUAUUGCGCAAUGGACGAAAGUCUGACGCAGCGACGCCGCGUGAGUGAUGAAGGCCUUAGGGUCGUAAAGCUCUGUUGAAUGGGAAGAAAAAAAUGACGGUACCAUUCGAGGAAGGACCGGCUAACUUCGUGCCAGCAGCCGCGGUAAUACGAGGGGUCCUAGCGUUGUUCGGAAUCAUUGGGCGUAAAGGGUGUGUAGGUGGCCAUGUAAGUCAGGUGUGAAAGCCCCGGGCUCAACCCGGGAAGUGCACUUGAUACUGCGUGGCUUGAGUACCGAAGAGGGUAGUGGAAUUCCAGGUGUAGUGGUGAAAUACGUAGAUAUCUGGAGGAACACCGGUGGCGAAGGCGGCUACCUGGUCGAGUACUGACACUGAGACACGAAAGCAUGGGGAUCAAACAGGAUUAGAAACCCGUGUAGUCC
This 428-nucleotide ribosomal RNA is filed under the name uncultured bacterium. RNAcentral describes it as "partial 16S ribosomal RNA". It matches the Rfam family "Bacterial small subunit ribosomal RNA", at positions 354 to 796 of the family's 1533-position model. The record is from RNAcentral.